RNAcentral lists this ribosomal RNA (497 nucleotides) under uncultured bacterium. RNAcentral's name for it is "partial 16S ribosomal RNA". It matches the Rfam family "Bacterial small subunit ribosomal RNA", at positions 28 to 507 of the family's 1533-position model. The record is from RNAcentral.
GAUGAACGCUGGCGGCGUGCCUAAUACAUGCAAGUCGAGCGAACGGACGAGAAGCUUGCUUUUCUGAUGUUAGCGGCGGACGGGUGAGUAACACGUGGAUAACCUACCUAUAAGACUGGGAUAACUUCGGGAAACCGGAGCUAAUACCGGAUAAUAUUUUGAACCGCAUGGUUCAAAAGUGAAAGACGGUCUUGCGGUCACUUAUAGAUGGAUCCGCGCUGCAUUAGCUAGUUGGUAAGGUAACGGCUUACCAAGGCAACGAUGCAUAGCCGACCUGAGAGGGUGAUCCGCCACACGAGAACUGAGGCACGGUCCAGACUCCUACGGGAGGCAGCAGUAGGGAAUCUUCCGCAAUGGGCGAAAGCCUGACGGAGCAACGCCGCGUGAGUGAUGAAGGUCUUCGGAUCGUAAAACUCUGUUAUUAGGGAAGAACAUAUGUGUAAGUAACUGUGCACAUCUUGACGGUACCUAAUCAGAAAGCCACGGCUAACUACGUG